CCAGAUCUAUCAAUGAGAAGAAUAAAAAGUCUGUUAGCGUUAACUAACCGCUUUAUCCUUGAUAAGGGUGACGUAUGCCGGCUGCGCUCGACAAGUUUGCAAACAGAGCUCAUUGUUCUGUUAUUGUUUACAUAAGAAAGCGAAAACUAUAGUCAAUGGAUUAUGGUGAGAAGAGUUUAUUCGUCUCUGUGAGGAUGUGGCGUGCCCCUGCACAGAGCCUGGACAUAAGCGGUGUUGGCUGUUUGAAGCAUUUAAUUCCUGCGUGGGUGCCACUUGCAGCAACUGACUUGGACAGGACCCUGAUCUGUGAUUGUCGAAACCACCCACCCGCCCCGUCCCCAACAGGAUAUUAGAGAUAACAUUUCAAGGCGUGCAGUUUGUGUCAUGCUACACAAAACAUGAUUUGUAAACAUUCACAUUGUGUGAGCAAUAAUAGCUCGCUGGCUAUUAUAUGCUUCUAUUUUCAUGAGUGUGCGUGUAACUAUGACGAUGCCGGGACAUGCAGCGAUUUUAGCGACUCAAAGAGCAGUGCUUACAUAUUCGAGUAACACUUGAACGAACAUUGAGCAUUCAUACGCGUACACAUACAAGACAAUAUACACAACAACGUAUACACAUGCGGCAAUUAGCAUUAUGGGUACACAUUGACUUGGAUCGAUUAUUGGGCUGUGCGAAUUCAGCCAGGAUCGAAUUAACCACGUUCUCGACCUCCGGGUUAUAAUACUCUCGAGUUAUAAUACAAACUGCAUCGAUAAUGCUCACAUGUAUCAACGUGAAUUCGCAAUUAUCAAGAUUAAACGGUACACUCACCGAACGUGCAUUGGAUUGACGGAAUUGCCGUCGUCGAAUACGGGAUUGUCCAUCGAGUAAGUGGCGGGCGGAGGCGAUUUGGACCUCUUGAUGAUGGUCAGACGUCGCAUCAAGGAGACGCACUUGUCCCUCCUCUCUUUCUGCUGUAAUUCAUGAAUGUGUAUAUAUGAGAGAGAGUGUAUUAUGCACAUUGAAAAAUCACACAAGCGCGUAAAUAUUCUUUGUAUAAAUAUUCAUGUCACAUGUUAAUUUUUUAAAUACCUUGUCCAUAUUCCUGGACGCGGUCGCAGGUGCAUUAGAUGACGCGAUGCCGCUCGCCACGCGCAAAGUGUUGUUCGGGCUCCUGUUCAUAUCGCUCGCGGAAGACGAAGGAACGGAAAUAGCGGCGCUAGCGCAGCCAUUGUUAGCACCAUUGAUACCCGCUGCCGGUUGCAACGUCGGCGGCAUUGUAACUUGUUUGCCAGGAGAAGCUGCGGGAAAAAUAUACAUACGGAUAUUCGACGUCAUCACCGCACUAUGACUGCGCCCAAGCGGAUUGACAGCCGCAUUCUGGUCGUUGUGCCGGGGCGGACUGGUUUCCUGAGUCGGUCCUUGUUCCUGUUGACCGCCGCUGCUGUGCCAAGACGUAG
Odontomachus brunneus is the source of this 1439-nucleotide long non-coding RNA. RefSeq lists it as uncharacterized. The transcript has 3 exons. NCBI's taxonomy places the organism in Eukaryota, Metazoa, Arthropoda, Insecta, Hymenoptera, Formicidae. The record is from RefSeq and is a predicted model, not a curated record.